GGAGGGAUGCCUGAGCGGUUGAAAGGGACUGUCUUGAAAACAGUUAGGGGCGCAAGCUCCUCGGGGGUUCGAAUCCCUCUCCCUCCG
This 87-nucleotide transfer RNA is filed under the name candidate division CPR3 bacterium. RNAcentral's name for it is "tRNA-Ser". It matches the Rfam family "tRNA". Rfam says of the family: Transfer RNA (tRNA) molecules are approximately 80 nucleotides in length. Their secondary structure includes four short double-helical elements and three loops (D, anti-codon, and T loops). Further hydrogen bonds mediate the characteristic L-shaped molecular structure. tRNAs have two regions of fundamental functional importance: the anti-codon, which is responsible for specific mRNA codon recognition, and the 3' end, to which the tRNAs corresponding amino acid is attached (by aminoacyl-tRNA synthetases). tRNAs cope with the degeneracy of the genetic code in two manners: having more than one tRNA (with a specific anti-codon) for a particular amino acid; and 'wobble' base-pairing, i.e. permitting non-standard base-pairing at the 3rd anti-codon position. Lineage: Bacteria; candidate division CPR3. The record is from RNAcentral.